This 2003-nucleotide long non-coding RNA is filed under the name Cricetulus griseus (Chinese hamster). RNAcentral describes it as "lncRNA (ENSCGRG00015030415.1)". Lineage: Eukaryota; Metazoa; Chordata; Mammalia; Rodentia; Cricetidae. The record is from RNAcentral.
GCGCGGGCAGGCUGAGCGCACAGCCUCGGUGGUGGCCUUUUAGACACGUCUGGCCUGAGCCUGAGUCGCGAGCGGUGGCCGGAACCUCGGCUGCCCGGGGGGUCAGGCGAGCCCCACAGCGGGGCCCAGGACCUGGUCUUGGGCGCUCGCUCGCUCCCGGCCCCGACAGAGACUCCCAGGCCGGCCUCACACCUCGAGUCUCAGCUCUCCCCGGGCCUACGGAAGUGCCGGGCGCCAGGAAGACCCCAGAGCGCACGCACACCCGACGCCGGUGCCGAGAGGAGAACCGAGGGACGGGCCGCGUCCCCUCGGGCGGCCUGCGUCUGGGCUACGGCGGGACGCGCCGCGGGUCCGGGAGGCCAUUUUGAGAGCGAGCGAGCGGCGGCAAGAUGGCUGCGUGGGCACGAGGACAUGCUUCAGGAUCAGAAGAAGAGAAAAGACAGCUUGGUGAUAACUAAAAAGAUGGAAGGAGGAGAAAAUGAAAGGUUGCGUGAAGACAAUGGCUGAGACAGCCCAUCGUUCCACCCUGCACAGCAGCGAGUGCCUCCUUCCCCAGCCUUGUCUCCUCUGUAGUGAGUCUACACAUUACUCUGCUAAACCUGAGAUUGUCCUGUGAAGGGAAGUGAUGGGACAGGAUGUUCAGCUUUCAUGGACUCAGACAAGAGAAGUGGUAACUUCUGCCAGGGUCACAGGACAACUACAGAGCCAAGCAGCUUCAGAAAUAGAAGAGUGAGCAGGCAAAGAAAAUGCUACACCACCCAUCCUGAGGCUGCUGCAAUCCUGCCACCAGGGACUCAGCAGGAGACCAGGGAAAGUGCUCCACAACCCUUCUAGAGGGCCUUUGUCACUGACCUGCUGGCCUAGCAUCUCCUCCAUGUCUGCCCAUGCCACACCUUUCAGGACCAUUCUGGGUCUGAUGUGCUGUGGGGAUGCUCUGUCCAGGCACUUAGGAAAUGGAAACAUCACCAUUGGCAUUUUCACCUCAAACAACUAGGCAGUACCUUGGGAAGUAGCCAGAGGAAGCGACUCCAGCCUCCCAGGAGUUAAAGGCGCUUCUCCCCAGCUGUCCUCCCCUUGGUGCUCCUUCUCCUCCCUCCUUCUGCUCACAGCAGGCAGGGCCUGGAACCAGGAGCCAUGCUGCUGUGCUGUUGCCAGGGGAGCUGGGAGGCAGAUCGGAGCUAUGCAGGGGAAAGGCUCAGCCUGUCAAAGUGUCUGAGAUGAACCACCGCCAUCCCUGUGCAGCUGGGCUCAGAUGUGUCUCGGCUCUUGUUCUGUGCCUGAGAACGGUGAAGCCCAGUGAGGUUCAAGGGCACACUCGCUAUUCAUUAGUCAGGGGUUCUUGACGUCCUGUCUCUCCCAGGCAUGGGUUCCCCCCUUCUUCUUUCCCUCCCUCCUAUGACACAUUCCUGGGUGCCUGUGGUGAGGACUGCACACCCCCUCCUGCUCAGCCCCCUCCACACAAACCCUGAAUCAACUCCUGUUAAGGAGACCAGGCGGGACAGAGACAAUGGCUUCAAGAAACCAUUCAGGCGGGACCCCAGCCACAUUCGCCGGCCCUUGACUCCCAGGGCUCCUAUAGAUCCAACUCUGCUGUGACUCAGGGCACCCUUGGGCCCCCAGCUUGCACAUGCCUGGACAGAAGCAGACCACUUGGUGCUGCCCUACACAACAGGCCAGUGCAGUGCUAUUCUCAGUGGGCACCUUGGUGCCUCUGUCCCACUGGCUGGAUCUUUUUUGUGCAGUUUGUUGGAGUAGAAACUGUACAGUAUUUUCUGAAAUGUCACCACUAUGUCAAACUGUAAAAGGCACAUAUCCUUGGUUACUAAUUUCAUGAUUAGGAAUUUGUUCCAGAUACUGGAAACAUUUACUAAGAAGCAUGGACAAAGAACUGUGUGGUUCAACGGGUUAUUUAAUACCAUGGAAUACUACACAGCUGUAAAAGUGUGGUAGAUCUGUCUGCAUGCAGGCUGAUAUCAAAGGCUGACUAAUAAAUGUAAAUGAAU